CAGCAUGAUCUAGCUUGCUAGAUUGAUGGCGAGUGGCGAACGGGUGAGUAAUACAUCGGAACGUGCCCUGUAGUGGGGGAUAACUAGUCGAAAGAUUAGCUUAAUACCGCAUACGACCUGAGGGUGAAAGUGGGGGACCGCAAGGCCUCAUGCUAUAGGAGCGGCCGAUGUCUGAUUAGCUAGUUGGUGAGGUAAAGGCUCACCCAAGGCGACGGUCAGUAGCUGGUCUGAGAGGACGAUCAGCCCACACUGGGACUGAGACACGGCCCCAGACUCUCUACGGGAGGCAGCCAGUGGGGAAUUUUGGACUAAUGGGCGAAAGCUUUGAUCUCAGCAAUGCCGGCGUGUGUGAAGAAGGAUAAUCGGGUUGUAAAGCACUUUUGUCCCGGAAAGAAAUGGCUCUGGAUAAUACACGGGGUCGUGACUG
Molecule: ribosomal RNA, 427 nt
Filed under: uncultured bacterium
Lineage: Bacteria
Description: bacterial SSU rRNA
Rfam family: Bacterial small subunit ribosomal RNA
Source: RNAcentral